RNAcentral lists this ribosomal RNA (491 nucleotides) under uncultured bacterium. RNAcentral describes it as "partial 16S ribosomal RNA". It matches the Rfam family "Bacterial small subunit ribosomal RNA", at positions 29 to 506 of the family's 1533-position model. The record is from RNAcentral.
AGUGAACGCUGGCGGUAGGCCUAACACGUGCAAGUCGAACGGCAGCACAGUAAGAGCUUGCUCUUACGGGUGGCGAGUGGCGGACGGGUGAGGAAUACAUCGGAAUCUACUUUUUCGUGGGGGAUAACGUAGGGAAACUUACGCUAAUACCGCAUACGACCUACGGGUGAAAGCAGGAGAUCUUCGGACCUUGCGCGAUUGAAUGAGCCGAUGUCGGAUUAGCUAGUUGGCGGGGUAAGGGCCCACCAAGGCGACGAUCCGUAGCUGGUCUGAGAGGAUGAUCAGCAACACUGGACCUAGGACACGGUCCAGACUCCUACGGGAGGCAGCAGUGGGGAAUAUUGGACAAUGGGCGCAAGCCUGAUCCAGCCAUACCGCGUGGGUGAAGAAGGCCUUCGGGUUGUAAAGCCCUUUUGUUGGGAAAGAAAAGCAGCAGGUUAAUACCCCGCUGUUCUGACGGUACCCAAAGAAUAAGCACCGGCUAACUUCGU